UACGGAGGGUGCAAGCGUUAUCCGGAUUUAUUGGGUUUAAAGGGUGCGUAGGCGGCUUAUUAAGUCAGUGGUGAAAGACUUCAGCUUAACUGAAGAACUGCCAUUGAUACUGAUGAGCUUGAAUAUACUUGAGGUUGGCGGAAUGUGUCAUGUAGCGGUGAAAUGCUUAGAUAUGACACAGAACACCGAUUGCGAAGGCAGCUAGCUAAAGUAUGAUUGACGCUGAUGCACGAAAGCGUGGGGAGCAAACAGG
This 253-nucleotide ribosomal RNA is filed under the name uncultured bacterium. RNAcentral's name for it is "partial 16S ribosomal RNA". It matches the Rfam family "Bacterial small subunit ribosomal RNA", at positions 524 to 776 of the family's 1533-position model. The record is from RNAcentral.